AACGAACGCUGGCGGCAUGCCUAACACAUGCAAGUCGAACGAAAGCUUCGGGCCUAGUGGUGCACGGGUGCGUAACGCGUGGGAACCUGCCCUUAGAUUCGGCAGAACUCCCCGGAAGAGGUGCUAAAACCGGCUCAUAUCCCCGGUCCAAAGUUUUAUAGCCUUUGGAUGGGCCCGCGUUGGAUUACCUAGUGGUUAGGGUAAAAGCCUACCAAGGCGACGAGCCAUAGCUGGUAAGUGAGGAAGAUCAGCGACACUGGGAGUGAGACACGGCCCAGACUCUUGCAGGAGGCAGGAGUGGGGAAUAUUGGACUGUGGGCUGAAGCAUGAUGCACCAAUGACUCGUGAGUGAUGCAGGCCGUAGGGUUGUAAAGCACUUUUACCCGGGAUGAUUAUGACAGUACCGAGAGAAUAAGCUCCGGCUAACUCCGUG
This 433-nucleotide ribosomal RNA is filed under the name uncultured bacterium. RNAcentral's name for it is "partial 16S ribosomal RNA". It matches the Rfam family "Bacterial small subunit ribosomal RNA", at positions 29 to 507 of the family's 1533-position model. The record is from RNAcentral.